Molecule: transfer RNA, 72 nt
Filed under: Stegodyphus mimosarum
Lineage: Eukaryota; Metazoa; Arthropoda; Arachnida; Araneae; Eresidae
Rfam family: tRNA
About the family: Transfer RNA (tRNA) molecules are approximately 80 nucleotides in length.
Source: Rfam by way of RNAcentral
GCCUUCGUGGUGUAACAGUUAGUACACUCGCCGCGUAAUCGAGAGUUUCAGGUUCGAAUCCCGGUGACGGCA